AACUCCCUGUUCCUCCACCGAGGUCAAUUUGUGAAUGCACACAUGACUUCACAAUCACUCCAGGGAAGCAUAUUUCUGUGGUCACCAUCAAUGGACGAUACGAUGUCUGCUUGCCUCGGAGAUCCUGUUCAUCAUGCUCUGCAGAAUGGACUCCCGAGGUGAAGGACCUGCUCAUUUAUCGGUACUGGCCAGCUAGCACCAGCUGCCAGACCCUGUACAAGUUUGAUGUCUUCACCUCUUUUGAACAUAUGAAGGUGACGGCACCAGCCAUGUCCAGGCAGGCCUUCCUGAAAAUGUUGGAGCACAGAUCUGUUGAAGCUGGAAGGACAGGUAGUAUCUGUGCUGAUACAUUUUCAGCGAAGCUUUGUUUGAGUUUACCUUCUGUCAAUACAAAGAAGAGGAUAUGUGCCAGGUCCAUCAUUUUGAGUGUCCAGCAUGUUCUCCAGACAUGUUGGCUGUCUGCUCUGAUGGGAACCGAAAACAUUACCGCUUCAGCAAGUCAAAAGGGACUGAGGAGCCACCCAUAUAUGAGGG
Cyprinus carpio (common carp) is the source of this 534-nucleotide long non-coding RNA. RefSeq lists it as uncharacterized. Lineage: Eukaryota; Metazoa; Chordata; Actinopteri; Cypriniformes; Cyprinidae. The record is from RefSeq and is a predicted model, not a curated record. The transcript has 4 exons.